AUUAUUGUGGAAUCAUCUGUCUCCUGAAGUCAUCUUGUGAUAUACGCUGUGGACAGAAAAAGAUUAAAGAAGCAGGCUGGCGAGGGUGUAUUUAUGCAACGUGACAAGAACAUGCACAAGGAAGGAUGAUGUCAUAAUGGAUCUCUCUACCAUUCAUGGUAUGAAGGAGUCCAGUCUGACAGUUUUGACUGGCAGAGGUGGAAAAGUUGACAUCUGUUCAAAAGAGGGCUGUCAAAGAAUCUCCUCACAGGUGACUUUUGGCAAAUUAACUGCAUCAUUCCCACCUUGUAGACCUCAUCUGUGAUCCCGUUCAUCUGCAUUAUUUUUUUGAAUGGAGUGGGACAGUGGUCAGAGAAGGCAAGCGUAUCCUGAUACCCAAGCCAACUAAGAGGAACAAGACAGUCUUCCUGCAAUCUAACACUGAUCACCAACUAGUA
This 437-nucleotide long non-coding RNA is filed under the name Mus spretus (western wild mouse). RNAcentral's name for it is "predicted gene 11680 (ENSMSPG00010039897.1)". Lineage: Eukaryota; Metazoa; Chordata; Mammalia; Rodentia; Muridae. The record is from RNAcentral.